GCCCAGUAACGGCGAUGUGAAGCGGCAACAGCUCAAAUUUAGAAAUCUGGGCCCUAGGCCCGAGUUGUAAUUUGCAGAGGAUGCUUUUGGCGCGGUGCCUUCCGAGUUCCCUGGAACGGGACGCCAUAGAGGGUGAGAGCCCCGUACGGUUGGACACCAAGCCUUUGUAAAGCUCCUUCGACGAGGUCGAGUAGUUUGGGAAUGCUGCUCAAAAUGGGAGGUAUAUUUCUUCUAAAGCUAAAUAUUGGCCAGAGACCGAUAGCGCACAAGUAGAGUGAUCGAAAGAUGAAAAGCACUUUGAAAAGAGGGUUAAACAGCACGUGAAAUUGUUAAAAGGGAAGCGCUUGUGACCAGACUUGCGCCCGGUGAAUCACCCAGCUCUCGCGGCUGGGGCACUUUGCCGGCACAGGCCAGCAUCUAGCUUGCCGUCGGGGACAAAAGCUUCAGGAACGUAGCUCUCUUCGGGGAGUGUUAUAGCCUGUUGCAUAAAACCCUUCGGCGGGCUGAG
This 508-nucleotide ribosomal RNA is filed under the name Colletotrichum dematium. RNAcentral describes it as "eukaryotic LSU rRNA". It matches the Rfam family "Eukaryotic large subunit ribosomal RNA", at positions 77 to 593 of the family's 3401-position model. Lineage: Eukaryota; Fungi; Ascomycota; Sordariomycetes; Glomerellales; Glomerellaceae. The record is from RNAcentral.